This 441-nucleotide long non-coding RNA is filed under the name Parus major (Great Tit). RNAcentral describes it as "lncRNA (ENSPMJG00000010751.1)". The record is from RNAcentral. Lineage: Eukaryota; Metazoa; Chordata; Aves; Passeriformes; Paridae.
UCUUUUCCUCAGAACUAUCAAAUCCAUCUUCAGAAACUUGACAUCUCCAUUGCCUUUGUUCUAGGAAGCAGCAUUGGAUUAUCUCUGGACCCAAAUUUGUGGCAUAGAAAUAUCACAAGUGGAAAAUCUACAUCUGGAAAAACAGAGACUGAGUUUGUCCACAGUUUGGAAAGCUUCCAGAAAAUAAUGGCUACAGGAACUAUCAAGUGCUACCACAAUGCAAGAAAUGAUUGAUCUGGCUAAGAUCAUAUUACUGGCUUCCUCCUGGUCAAGUGUCCAGAGGUCUACUGAGAAAUGUUCUUGGAAACCUAAACAGAAAAAGCCUAAAACCUCAUUAAUAAUUUGGACAUCAAGAAAAGGCUGUGUAAACUACUUGCUUACACUUUACUAAUGUGUUUGCAUUUUUUUUUCAUUGUUUGUUUUUAUUUUUUGUAAAUUAUC